CAGUCGCCGCGGUAACACGUAGGUGGCAAGCGUUGUCCGGAAUUAUUGGGCGUAAAGGGCUCGCAGGCGGUUUCUUAAGUCUGAUGUGAAAGCCCCCGGCUCAACCGGGGAGGGUCCUUGGAAACUGGGAAACUUGAGUGCAGAAGAGGAGAGUGGAAUUCCACGUGUAGCGGUGAAAUGCGUAGAGAUGUGGAGGAACACCAGUGGCGAAGGCGACUCUCUGGUCUGUAACUGACGCUGAGGAGCGAAAGCGUGGGGAGCGAACAGGAUUAGAUACCCCCGUAGUCCCUGUCUCUUAUAC
Molecule: ribosomal RNA, 301 nt
Filed under: uncultured bacterium
Lineage: Bacteria
Description: partial 16S ribosomal RNA
Rfam family: Bacterial small subunit ribosomal RNA
Source: RNAcentral